AUUAAUUUAUUCAAACAUUUCUGCACGUGUUGUCUUGUUCCGUUUCAAAAUGGAGUAGUAUAGGGCAGCUUAUGGAUUGGGAAAACGUUUCUGUUUUACGUGGAGUUGGAAUGUUUGAGAAACUCACAAGCUGCGAAAGAAUACGAAAUACCUUUCGCCUUGUCUGGACAAUGCAUUUUUUAAGAGGCAAAAUCAAGAUUUCCAAUGUCACUGGAAAGAAUACAUAACUCUUACAUGUGCUCUUUAAAAUACCUCUGUCAUUGCUUUGUGGAUGAUUCAUGAUGAUGGAGCAAGGCGUAAGGAUUGGGAAAAAGCAACUCUUUCAUUGCAACAGUUUCUGGAUGGCUGAUUCAUCUACCUAAAAGAGGCAAACUUGACGACUGUAAAAGAAUGGAGUUAUCUGUGUCAUAGCAAGUGUUUGUGGAUGAUGCCUGAUGAUGAAAGAGGCUACAAAAGAUUGGGAAAAAGCAAUUCUGUUUUAUUGCAACAGAUGGAUCAACUCACAAAAGAGGGAGUGGAAAAAAAAAAUCUUUGAAUAAUGGCAAUGAAAGAUGUAGGCCACAUGCUUUGAGAACUUGUACAAAGAAAUUUGAAGUCUUGUGCUAACAAAGAUUCAAAGACGAAGUUCAUUGGAGUCACCAAAGAGCAAAGCAAGGCAAAGCAGAUUUUAAUAAAAUCACUUUUAGUAGGGAAAGACCGGGUUAAAUGCUGUACUUUUUAAGUGGUCGAGGAACAAGUCUGCAAAAUUGCGUUUUUAAGGUAACAAGAAAAAGGUCGGAAAAAAGCCAAGUCUUUUUACGGCAAAAUUGUCUUGGAUUAAAAAUUUACGCUUGAAAGCGAACGAGGAAUAAAAAAGUGAAAAAAAAACGCUAUUGUAAGUCUUUUGGCGGAAAAUUUUCAUGGUUAAAGAUAUUGCAGUUUCACAAGGGACCAAAAAAAAGUCAAAAAAAAAAUUCUAAGUCUUUUGGCGGGAAAAUGUUUGUAGGUUGAAGACAUUGCGCUUUUAAAAAGGGACCAAAAAA
RNAcentral lists this long non-coding RNA (1022 nucleotides) under Orbicella faveolata. RNAcentral's name for it is "uncharacterized LOC110061387, transcript variant X4". Lineage: Eukaryota; Metazoa; Cnidaria; Anthozoa; Scleractinia; Merulinidae. The record is from RNAcentral.